AAAGUCGUAACAAGGUUUCCGUAGGUGAACCUGCGGAAGGAUCAUUAUCCCACCGGUCUACCGGUUUUAGGGGCCCUCGCUGCGCCUAUACAGCAAAGCGAGCCCUCUUAUACCCUUGUCUAUGAGCACUCAUGUUUCCUUGGUAGGCUUGCCUGCCAGUUGGACACCCCGAACUCUUUAAUUUUACAUCAGCGUCUGAAACAAAUAAUAUUUACAACUUUCAACAACGGAUCUCUUGGUUCUG
This 244-nucleotide unclassified non-coding RNA is filed under the name Ascomycota sp. RNAcentral describes it as "partial contains small subunit ribosomal RNA, internal transcribed spacer 1, and 5.8S ribosomal RNA". The stretch from base 1 to 47 matches the Rfam family "Eukaryotic small subunit ribosomal RNA", at positions 1785 to 1831 of the family's 1831-position model. The record is from RNAcentral. Lineage: Eukaryota; Fungi; Ascomycota.